AAAAAACGAAAACAUUAAACGUCUGCUUUAAAUCUACAAUUCUUGUAACACGAGGAAUUUGCCUUUCGUCAUAUUUCAGAAGGACAAAUCGUAUAGUAAAUACGUUUUUUUUUUACGGAAGGCCUCCUCAGUACUUUCUUACGAUGUACCAGAUACUUCAUUUGGCAACAACUUGGAGAUAUUAUCACGCAAAUAUCUUAUCAAAGCUGGUGAUUCUAAACACCCACGCAUAAACAAAGAAGACGGUUCCAUGCUUCUAUAUUUCAUGUUUUUUUGACUCGGAUGUUUUUGUGCUUUGAUGUUAACAUUGUGGCUAUAAAUUUAAUAUGCAAUAUCCAAGCAAUUUUAUUGAUUCCAUAAAAUAAAGCCAUUGGCCAUCUCAUUGUCUUACUACUAUUGAACAUCAGGGAACACAUUCGGUCUAAUGCAUCUACUUCGCCUUUUGCUUGAAUGUAAUAUAUCAUCUUUGCUUUGUACCUCAUCGGGAAAAGCUUCUUCUGUGUCACUUUGCUCGUCAUUUUCAAUUUCGUGGUCCUCCUACUUCCCUAUCGGUUUCUUCACAGGGACCCUCAUCGCUUUGCAUAAGAGCGGCUAGUAUACAAUAUUCUUCCAAUUUUCUAUCCCCAAUUGUUUUCUAUAUUUGCUUCAAUAUGUAUAAAAAUAAAUUUUUAACAUAAGUCACAAUAUACAGUAAAAAUAAGCUAAAAAAUAUUCAAACUACCAUAGAAGUCAAAAUCUUAAAAGUCACGGUAAAGAUAAUCAUGCGUAAUUUUGACUCACGUAGUCGUUAUAUUUCAAAAUUGGUUACUCUAACUUUAUUGAGACGUAUACCAUAGGGUAGCUCUUAGUGACUUAUGAAAUGUCCUAUAAGCACAGUUAUGGAUUCGCGACAUUUAAAAAGAUAAAGCUAUAUUUCGAAAACGCAGGAGUCAUUUUGACGCAGACUAUCUUUCUAGGGUUAAAU
Colias croceus (clouded yellow) is the source of this 964-nucleotide long non-coding RNA. RefSeq lists it as uncharacterized. The record is from RefSeq and is a predicted model, not a curated record. Lineage: Eukaryota; Metazoa; Arthropoda; Insecta; Lepidoptera; Pieridae. The transcript has 2 exons.